Molecule: ribosomal RNA, 560 nt
Filed under: uncultured bacterium
Lineage: Bacteria
Description: bacterial SSU rRNA
Rfam family: Bacterial small subunit ribosomal RNA
Source: RNAcentral
CCUACGGGAGGCAGCAGUGGGGAAUCUUGCGCAAUGGGCGAAAGCCUGACGCAGCCAUGCCGCGUGAAUGAUGAAGGUCUUGGGAUUGUAAAAUUCUUUCACCGGGGACGAUAAUGACGGUACCCGGAGAAGAAGCCCCGGCUAACUUCGUGCCAGCAGCCGCGGUAAUACGAAGGGGGCUAGCGUUGCUCGGAAUUACUGGGCGUAAAGGGAGCGUAGGCGGACAUUUAAGUCAGGGGUGAAAUCCCGGGGCUCAACCUCGGAAUUGCCUUUGAUACUGGGUGUCUUGAGUAUGAGAGAGGUGUGUGGAACUCCGAGUGUAGAGGUGAAAUUCGUAGAUAUUCGGAAGAACACCAGUGGCGAAGGCGGCACACUGGCUCAUUACUGACGCUGAGGCUCGAAAGCGUGGGGGGCAAACAGGAUUAGAUACCCUGGUAGUCCACGCCGUAAACGAUGAUUGCUAGUUGUCGGGAUGCAUGCAUUUCGGUGACGCAGCUAACGCAUUAAGCAAUCCGCCUGGGGAGUACGGUCGCAAGNUUAAAACUCAAAGGAAUUGACGG